This 73-nucleotide transfer RNA is filed under the name Paramuricea clavata. It matches the Rfam family "tRNA". From Rfam's summary of the family: Transfer RNA (tRNA) molecules are approximately 80 nucleotides in length. Their secondary structure includes four short double-helical elements and three loops (D, anti-codon, and T loops). Further hydrogen bonds mediate the characteristic L-shaped molecular structure. tRNAs have two regions of fundamental functional importance: the anti-codon, which is responsible for specific mRNA codon recognition, and the 3' end, to which the tRNAs corresponding amino acid is attached (by aminoacyl-tRNA synthetases). tRNAs cope with the degeneracy of the genetic code in two manners: having more than one tRNA (with a specific anti-codon) for a particular amino acid; and 'wobble' base-pairing, i.e. permitting non-standard base-pairing at the 3rd anti-codon position. The record is from Rfam by way of RNAcentral. Lineage: Eukaryota; Metazoa; Cnidaria; Anthozoa; Malacalcyonacea; Plexauridae.
GCCUCUGUAGCUCAGUUGGCUAGAGCGCUGCACCGGAAUCGCAGGGCCGUAGGUUCAAUUCCUACCAGAGGAC